ACGCACGCUGGCGGCGUGCUUCACCCCUGCCAGUCGCACGCUGAAGCUUGGUGCUUGCACUGGGUGGAUGAGUGGCGAACGGGUGAGUAAUACGUGAGUAACCUGCCCUUGACUCUGGGAUAAGCCUGGGAAACUGGGUCUAAUACUGGAUACGACAUGUCACCGCAUGGUGGUGUGUGGAAAGGGUUUUACUGGUUUUGGAUGGGCUCACGGCCUAUCAGCUUGUUGGUGGGGUAAUGGCUCACCAAGGCGACGACGGGUAGCCGGCCUGAGAGGGUGACCGGCCACACUGGGACUGAGACACGGCCCAGACUCCUACGGGAGGCAGCAGUGGGGAAUAUUGCACAAUGGGCGGAAGCCUGAUGCAGCGACGCCGCGUGAGGGAUGACGGCCUUCGGGUUGUAAACCUCUUUCAGCACGGAAGAAGCGAAAGUGACGGUACGUGCAGAAGAAGCGCCGGCUAACUACGUG
RNAcentral lists this ribosomal RNA (471 nucleotides) under uncultured bacterium. RNAcentral's name for it is "partial 16S ribosomal RNA". It matches the Rfam family "Bacterial small subunit ribosomal RNA", at positions 29 to 507 of the family's 1533-position model. The record is from RNAcentral.